Molecule: long non-coding RNA, 1466 nt
Filed under: Olea europaea (common olive)
Lineage: Eukaryota; Viridiplantae; Streptophyta; Magnoliopsida; Lamiales; Oleaceae
Description: long non-coding RNA (OEUR_LNC012116)
Source: RNAcentral
GCAUCUGGACUUGAAGGCAUGUUCAUCUAAACAUUUGCCAAACCCCAUCUUACACAUUUCUCUUGCACUCAUUCCAUGACCUGUUUUGAUAGUUGAUUUGACCUUCGAAUUGAAAAAGGUUGUCAAGUUUUUUUUUUAGGACGGCUCCUUUACACCUUAAUGGUUCUUUUCCAAUGUGCAUGUAAUGCCUACAUGGAAAAGGAUAUGGCCUGAAUUCUAUUAUCAGGCCAAAUUUUGAGGUCAGCAAAAUCAAACCAAAUCAUAUUUUGUGGUUUGAUUUGGUUUCAAAUCAUUGAUUUAGCGACACAAAAAUAAUAGCUUUCAAACAAGUGAAAAAAUUAAUAUAUUAAUUUCAAAUUUCACUAAAACACUUGCAUUGAAACCUUUCAAACAUAAAUGUUGGCGUCAACAGAUCCUGCCUCUACUUCUCUCCAAGCGUAUGUUACAUGGGCACUUGGAGCGCAUGCAGACAUGCAAGAAUACUCUCAAAACACAAAGGGAUAUGAGAGGUCACGAUCAUACGUACUUUGAUGCUCAAGUCAGUUAGAAUAAUGAGAUUAAAGUGUAUUGGGUAUGGAAACGUCAUGUAGAGGAGAGAAUAUAAUUUAGAUUCGGAUCCGUAUUUUGUGAGAGGGAAGUUUGAAUAUUUAUAAAUGAGAGAAAUGAAUGAAGGCUUCGUGGAUGCUUGACGCAUGACUUCAUCCAAUAGCUUAUUGGUCAAGUUCUAUCACGUCACAAUGUCGUGUCCUAGGCACCAAUAGGUCUAUGACCCCGUAUGCUAUCUUACGUGGGUAAAAGUAAGUUUGCACUAAAUCACCAUUUUAAUUAUUUCUCACAUGACUCCAGAAGUAGAAUCACCAUUUACAUAAAGUUUGACCAUUGCCCUCCAUCGCUUCAGCGAUGAAGACCCAUGUUAUGUCAUAAGCAUUAUGAAUCCAAAGUUCACAUUGCAUUUAAUAAAUUGCAAAUUUCGAUUAUUCAUUUCUUGGAUUCUUCAAAUUCUCUUUGAAUUUAUUGGCAAUUGACAUCUAUAAAAAUAUAUGUUAAUUGAAAAUGCGGGGAAAAAAUAAAUAUAUUUUGAAAAAGUAAAAUAAAGAGCUUGUUUGAGUGUAUCGAAAGUCUUACUAUUUAAAUUUCAAAAUAUUUUCUAUUAUAUACAAGAUGCUUCUAUAAUUAAAUAAAAAAGACUAUUGAAGAGGUUCUUACAUGCAACAAACUUGACUCUUAAAACACAUUAAUAAACCGGGAUAAAUCUCACAUAAACUUAACUAAAAAAUAUUAAGCCCCUGUUUGUUUCCCAUUAUUUACCCAUCAAAAUAAAAAAAUAUGAUAGUUAUCCAUCACAUCAAACCACCAUAUUUGACGUUCCAUCUCUUGUGUAGCGCCCAUACGGCUAUAUUUUUCCUUCUCAUUUUUACAUUAAUGUGUAUCAAACGGGGCCUAAGUUUGUACCAGGGUAGCAUAAA